RNAcentral lists this unclassified non-coding RNA (759 nucleotides) under Saccharomyces cerevisiae (brewer's yeast). RNAcentral describes it as "partial contains ITS1, 5.8S rRNA and ITS2". The stretch from base 367 to 520 matches the Rfam family "5.8S ribosomal RNA". The record is from RNAcentral. Lineage: Eukaryota; Fungi; Ascomycota; Saccharomycetes; Saccharomycetales; Saccharomycetaceae.
AAGAAAUUUAAUAAUUUUGAAAAUGGAUUUUUUUUUUGUUUUGGCAAGAGCAUGAGAGCUUUUACUGGGCAAGAAGACAAGAGAUGGAGAGUCCAGCCGGGCCUGCGCUUAAGUGCGCGGUCUUGCUAGGCUUGUAAGUUUCUUUCUUGCUAUUCCAAACGGUGAGAGAUUUCUGUGCUUUUGUUAUAGGACAAUUAAAACCGUUUCAAUACAACACCCUGUGGAGUUUUCAUAUCUUUGCAACUUUUUCUUUGGGCAUUCGAGCAAUCGGGGCCCAGAGGUAACAAACACAAACAAUUUUAUUUAUUCAUUAAAUUUUUGUCAAAAAACAAGAAUUUUCGUAACUGGAAAUUUUAAAAUAUUAAAAACUUUCAACAACGGAUCUCUUGGUUCUCGCAUCGAUGAAGAACGCAGCGAAAUGCGAUACGUAAUGUGAAUUGCAGAAUUCCGUGAAUCAUCGAAUCUUUGAACGCACAUUGCGCCCCUUGGUAUUCCAGGGGGCAUGCCUGUUUGAGCGUCAUUUCCUUCUCAAAUAUUCUGUUUGGUAGUGAGUGAUACUCUUUGGAGUUAACUUGAAAUUGCUGGCCUUUUCAUUGGAUGUUUUUUUUUUCCAAAGAGAGGUUUCUCUGCGUGCUUGAGGUAUAAUGCAAGUACGGUCGUUUUAGGUUUUACCAACUGCGGCUAAUCUUUUUUUAUACUGAGCGUAUUGGAACGUUAUCGAUAAGAAGAGAGCGUCUAGGCGAACAAUGUUCUUAAAGU